This 210-nucleotide ribosomal RNA is filed under the name uncultured bacterium. Its description in RNAcentral is "partial 16S ribosomal RNA". It matches the Rfam family "Bacterial small subunit ribosomal RNA", at positions 524 to 731 of the family's 1533-position model. The record is from RNAcentral.
UACGAAGGGGGCUAGCGUUGCUCGGAAUCACUGGGCGUAAAGGGUGCGUAGGCGGGUCUUUUAAGUCAGGGGUGAAAUCCUGGAGCUCAACUCCAGAACUGCCUUUGAUACUGAAGAUCUUGAGUUCGGGAGAGGUGAGUGGAACUGCGAGUGUAGAGGUGAAAUUCGUAGAUAUUCGCAAGAACACCAGUGGCGAAGGCGGCUCAACUG